Molecule: ribosomal RNA, 427 nt
Filed under: uncultured bacterium
Lineage: Bacteria
Description: partial 16S ribosomal RNA
Rfam family: Bacterial small subunit ribosomal RNA
Source: RNAcentral
UGGGGAAUAUUGCACAAUGGGCGCAAGCCUGAUGCAGCCAUGCCGCGUGUAUGAAGAAGGCCUUCGGGUUGUAAAGUACUUUCAGCGGGGAGGAAGGUGUUGAGGUUAAUAACCUUGUCGAUUGACGUUACCCGCAGAAGAAGCACCGGCUAACUCCGUGCCAGCAGCCGCGGUAAUACGGAGGGUGCAAGCGUUAAUCGGAAUUACUGGGCGUAAAGUGCACGCAGGCGGUCUGUCAAGUCGGAUGUGAAAUCCCCGGGCUCAACCUGGGAACUGCAUUCGAAACUGGCAGGCUAGAGUCUUGUAGAGGGGGGUAGAAUUCCAGGUGUAGCGGUGAAAUGCGUAGAGAUCUGGAGGAAUACCGGUGGCGAAGGCGGCCCCCUGGACAAAGACUGACGCUCAGGUGCGAAAGCGUGGGGAGCAAACA